UGAAUGAGAGAAAUGUAAGAACUAAGAAUUACGGUGCAUGAAAAAAUAGAAUUGUUAUAUUAUUUUUGUCAAUUUUACUGUGCAUGUCACAUUUAAAAAUGAGAACAAACAAAUACAACACAACCCAUUGCAAUGCACACAGUGCUCUUUCUCUUUACUUGAUUUGAUUUUAUUCUUUUCUUUUGGGUAAGGACCACAACUGCACAUGAUCUCAUUACGUUCAAUUACAGGAAAGAAUAUCAUAUCAUGUUACACUUAAAAUCAUAACGGCCUCUGAAAUGCUCGAAGAGCAAAUUAAAAUCAUAUCUCUAAACAAACUUUGUUUAAAUACAACUUUAUUUUGAAUUAUAUUAAAAUACAACUUAGUUUUAUAUUUUCAAUAUUUAGGGUCCUCUAAUAUGGACCAAGUAAAAAGGACCACUAGUGAAUCCUUGAAAUGACAUAUUAUAGCAAAUUAAUUUUUUUUGUUUAUUGUGAAAUUAACAUAAAUGCAAAUGGGAGGGGUUAAAAUUUACAAAGUAUAUUUUGUGGCUUUACUCAAACUACGUUUUCAAAUUGUACAACAGUGCCUUUUUUUUAUAAUUUCUUUUUCAAAAGCUUUUUGAAUUAAAAUAAUUAAAAAAGAAACUACCAUUUCAAUUGUUGUUACCAUUGCACUACAAUGGUUAAACUAUAUGAAUAUGAUUGAUGCAUAUAAUUUAUUUUAUCUCUUUUUAACUUUUUCUUUUACACAUUUUAUUUACCAAUGAACCCCAACCACGAUAAUUUUUGGUCCAAUUUUAUGUAAAAUUAUGACAAUUUUCUAUGUAUCACAAGUCAACAAAAUGUCUCAUCUUUUAAUUAAAAAUGCAUCCAAUAACCCAAUUCUCAAAUUUUCAAAUUAUAUUUCUAUCUCACACUUUGAAAAUUACUCAUAUCAAUACCAACAAUUUUCAACUCAAUCAAAUAAUCCUAAUAUGCCUUAUGGGGUUCAAUUGGAUAGUAGUGGUGUACAAUUAAAUGAUCAAGAGCUUGCAACAUCAUAAUUUUGCACUCAAAGUGACUUAGAAACUAGUAUUAUCCUGGUGAAGAAGUCAGAACUACAUCGGUUAUGAAUAUGUCGAAAAUAAAAUUUCAAUAAAAAAAAGAUAAACUUCUCAUUUAAUCAUGACUCAAUAUUUUAAAGGAUCAAUUGUAAGGAUUGAUAAAAAAAGAAGAUAGUUUUUGAAAGAGAAUUGAUUAAAAUUAUAACAACCACUCUCUCAAAAAAAAAAUUAUAACGACCAUCGCCUCAAGAAUAUAUAUAUAUAUAUAUUUCUUAUAACUUACUUGUGUCGUGUAGUUUUCUUAUAAUGAGGAUACACUAUUUUAGCCAGCAAACCUUCAGCAACUAUAGAGUAUAGACAUCGUAAAUGGUCUACACAUAUAGGAAUAUGCUUCAUAUAUUCAUAGCCACGACAUUCCUACUUCAUUGGUUCCUUGUUUGGCCAACAUUCUGGUUCCUAUUAUCUUCUAACCAAUGGUGAGUUUAUGCAUUAAUAGAAUAAGCUAAUAACAAAAGGUUUGCUUCAAUUUGUAUACAAAAAGUUCCACUUAAC
This 1577-nucleotide long non-coding RNA is filed under the name Medicago truncatula (barrel medic). Its description in RNAcentral is "long non-coding RNA (MTRU_LNC005688)". The record is from RNAcentral. Lineage: Eukaryota; Viridiplantae; Streptophyta; Magnoliopsida; Fabales; Fabaceae.